This is a non-coding RNA of Treponema sp. GWC1_61_84, 74 nucleotides long. Lineage: Bacteria; Pseudomonadati; Spirochaetota; Spirochaetia; Treponematales; Treponemataceae. The record is from Rfam.
GCCAUCUUAGCUCAGUCGGCUAGAGCGCGUGACUUGUAAUCUCGAGGUCCCCGGUUCGACUCCGGGAGAUGGCU